RNAcentral lists this ribosomal RNA (229 nucleotides) under uncultured bacterium. RNAcentral describes it as "partial 16S ribosomal RNA". It matches the Rfam family "Bacterial small subunit ribosomal RNA", at positions 568 to 796 of the family's 1533-position model. The record is from RNAcentral.
CGUGUAGGCGGUAAGAUAAGUCUGGUGUGAAAUACCUCGGCUCAACCGAGGGAACGCGCUGGAAACUGUCUUACUAGAGUGAUGGAGGGGAAACUGGAAUUCCAGGUGUAGGGGUGAAAUCUGUAGAGAUCUGGAAGAACACCGGAGGCGAAGGCGAGUUUCUGGCCAUCUACUGACGCUGAGGCGCGAAAGCGUGGGGAGCGAACAGGAUUAGAUACCCUGGUAGUCC